AUUAUCUUGGAACAUGUGUUUUAAAUUACACAACCUAAGAGAUAGGAUCGACUUAUUUUAAAACUGAUCUAGUUGGCGAGUUAUUGUGUCCAACAAUGAAGUUAUUCGUUUUUCUUUGCCUUUUGGCAUGUUUGACUGCAAUGGUAGCAGUUGAAGGUAGGUCAUUGUUGGACAGUUUGUGUAUAGGACAGAUAGAUUGUUUCAUCAGCGGGUGUAUGCUGGCUAACUGUCCAGUCAAAUGUGUUGAAACAUGCAACUGUGGACAUUACUGUACAGUCUAACAUCCUACAGUCUAACUUUGGAAAACUUGGCUAUAAGAUGUAAAAAAUAAAGGAAACUAUCGUAUAUUGAAAACAGAAUUGAACAUUGUUUGUAUGACGUCAAUAAACUGGAUGGAAUAAAGGAGGACACACACAAAACAAAA
Molecule: long non-coding RNA, 424 nt
Organism: Biomphalaria glabrata
Lineage: Eukaryota; Metazoa; Mollusca; Gastropoda; Planorbidae
Exons: 3
Source: RefSeq, a predicted model, not a curated record